CCUAGAUGAGAACAACCAUUGAAGUCCAACUUGAGUGUAGAAAAACGCGGCGGAGGAGAGAAAGCCAACGGCCACCACUUCUCAAUAACGAGGAACCUAAUGAAUAUAUCCAAGCCGGGAGAGCCAGAUUCAUCACCCAUGCGCCACCAACUCCAGCCAAAAAUAAAUCAAAAGUUAGAUUUGAAAAUCCUUCAAUUCGCUUGAAGCCAUCCUAAAUGCCAACUCCAUGCUUCCUUGUCUUCCCAACCUCAUCGCUACACUGGAAUGGCUCCUUUUAUAAGGGAAACUAUCUCCGGAUCUUACGAUCGAAAUCGAGUUACCGUUCUAAAAUCUAGACAUGUUGGAAAAGAACCAAAGGAAGAAGAAAUAAAAUUUUGUCAGAGAGAAAAAGAAAAAAGAGAAAAUAUAGCAUUUUUAAUAAGCGUUUAAUAAUUUUUAUUUUUUUUAAUUUAAAUACCAAUUUUUAUUCAUCAUCCCAAAUGGGCAUAAGUAAUGGAUACAAACUGAGACUCGGAUAAAAUCCGUACAACCUAAAACUGCCCCACUACACUUUCGAAUGAUACACAGACGGGUUACUUCGCUAAACUCCGACCCAGCUCUAGGAAGGAUACACAGACAAGCCGCUUAUCAUAACCCCGUAGCCAACAUCGGUGAUCACCGGCUAGUUCCGGUUAAUCGGGGCGGGAGAACAAGUCUCCGCUUCCUCCUCCCCGAAUGACCCAUUACCACCAUGAAGACCAGAGAGAUUACAACGCAAUAUCACGAUCUAAAACUAUCACAACCUAAACAACACAACCUAAACACAAGAAAAAAAACAGACAACAACACAAGCAGACAUAAAACUAAAAAAUGGGAUUGAAAGAGGCUACAACACACAAACCAACUGGAACGAAAUCUGCAACGAAACGGUUAGAAACACAUCCACUAGAGCAUCCAAAUGACUAAGACCCUAACGCUGGGAUGAUGAGCUUCAGCGCAAGCUGUCUUCGAGACCAGUCCACCACAAGAAGGACCGAGAACCCGCCUUGCUCAACCUCUGAGAACCAGAGGACUGCCCGCUUCAAAACCCAUCCGGAAGCUCUCGAAGACAAGCGACAAACUUCCUAAUGAGAGCAAGCAUCGAACGCUCGGAGAGCUGACAUCGCGAAGACACAACCCGAGAGCUAGCUGGGAUGCCGUGACUUGAGGAAUCAAAGAAGAAGCAACGGAACCCGUGAUUGGCCGGAGCCAUAGACGACUCGCCGCCUCCGCCGAGCUACAGACUUGCACGCGCCACCACCAAGAAGAAGCGACCGACACACGAUGACCUAACCUCCUUGCACGCGUCGGUGAAAAACACACCGAAAACUUCUUGGAUGACGGCGAGGUGAGCUUCCGCCGCGAGACACCAAGCGAGCAGAAAACCCACGCGCCACCACCCCACUCCUCCAGAACGGAUCAAAAGAGAUGAUACCAGUGAAGCCCAGAUCCGGGAAGAAAAGACCCCUUGACGAAGACACGCGCCACCGUUCCUUGAAACACGCCGGAGAUCUAAAGGAGAAAACGAAACUCCGAGGAAUCUCAAUCCCUAAAACCCGACCCCCUGAGCUGAACCACCCUUACGCGCCUCACCGGACCUCCAAGCGGCUGACGAACUCCACUAACGGCGAGGCCUCACCGUGAUGAGAAGCCGGCAAAAGAUCAGAACUCCAAGUAUAUCGACCGAAGGAAGAAAGAAACAACAGGAGGCGAAAGCAAAACCAAGGAGGAGGAAGGAAGAGCACGCCUCCGGCGUCGCUUCCGACGUCGGAGCAACCGGAUAAAGGAGAAAGACGAGAGCUUUUAGCGAGAGGUUUUUGAGGAGAGAGGUUUUUGACACGUUUAAUAAAAUUUAUGAUAUACAAAUAAGUACAGCAUAGUAAAAAGGGC
This 1908-nucleotide long non-coding RNA is filed under the name Brassica napus (rape). Its description in RNAcentral is "long non-coding RNA (BNAP_LNC017566)". Lineage: Eukaryota; Viridiplantae; Streptophyta; Magnoliopsida; Brassicales; Brassicaceae. The record is from RNAcentral.